Molecule: long non-coding RNA, 751 nt
Filed under: Ananas comosus (pineapple)
Lineage: Eukaryota; Viridiplantae; Streptophyta; Magnoliopsida; Poales; Bromeliaceae
Description: long non-coding RNA (ACOM_LNC016153)
Source: RNAcentral
UCUGAAAAUGGAAAAUGUUAAAAAGUAAUUCUCGCGUAUUUAACCUUGUAUAAUUUAAGCUUUAUUUGAGAUUGCGGAGAGAUUACAUUACAUGCGAUGAAAAAGUACAAUAGAAAAAUCGUACGUAAUAUUGUGUUUCGCAUAUCGCGAUGAGUCAGUUACGGUAUACUUUCUAUGGCCCCAACGAAAAAUGUAGAAGUAUAUCUCCAUAUGAUUUUAUUUCAACUUUAUUUUGGGGCCGUUUGGUUGCAUGUAGUUGCAACUACAUUGCAGUUGUAACUGUAUGUAAAUGCAAAUUUCGUGUUUGCUUUGAUGUAUUUAACUCCAACUGCUGCAGUAGGAACUGCAGGAGGAGGUCCAACUGCAGCAAUUCGAAUUACGCCCAAAUUCGCCGCAGUUCCAACUGCAACAGUUGGAGAGAGUAAUUUUAAAUAAAAUGCAUGCUUACCUCCUCAAUAUUUUUUAAACAAAAAUUAUUUUUCUUUUUUACAUUGAAGGUAAUCUCACCAUCAUAUAUAUAAAAUAAUAAAAUUUUUUAAAAUUAUUUCUCAACUGCAUGCAACCAAACAAAUUAUUUAUACUUGAAGCGCUUUCUACUACAUCCAACCAAACAAGAUUCAUAUAGUUAUAACUGCUGUAUUUCUAACUGCAUUCAUUUUUAACUACACUGCAUUUAUAAUUACAUCUAAUAAAACGCCACCUUUAUUUAAUAGCAUCCAAUAGGUCUGAAUACAAAACUAAACCGGGUUUA